RNAcentral lists this unclassified non-coding RNA (345 nucleotides) under soil metagenome. RNAcentral's name for it is "partial contains 5.8S ribosomal RNA, internal transcribed spacer 2, and large subunit ribosomal RNA". The stretch from base 1 to 121 matches the Rfam family "5.8S ribosomal RNA", at positions 35 to 154 of the family's 154-position model. The record is from RNAcentral.
GAUGAAGAACGCAGCGAAAUGCGAUAAGUAAUGCGAAUUGCAGAAUUUCCGUGAGUCAUCGAAUCUUUGAACGCACAUUGCGCCCACUGGUAUUCCGGUGGGUAUGCCUGUUCGAGCGUCAUUAUCCUCCCUCAAACCCCGGGUUUGGUGUUGGACCCAAGUUGUGUGAACAACUGGUCUCAAAGACAAUGACGGCGUCCGUGGGACCCUCGGUGCAACGAGCUUUUAGGAGCACGCAUCGAGUUGCAAGGACCUUCCGGGCCGGUCUCCUUUACCAUUUUACAAGGUUGACCUCGGAUCAGGUAGGAAUACCCGCUGAACUUAAGCAUAUCAAUAAGCGGAGGA